AACGAACGCUGGCGGCAUGCCUAACACAUGCAAGUCGAACGAUCCCUUCGGGGAUAGUGGCGCACGGGUGCGUAACGCGUGGGAACCUGCCCUUAGGUUCGGAAUAACUCAGAGAAAUUUGAGCUAAUACCGGAUAAUGUCUUCGGACCAAAGAUUUAUCGCCUUUGGAUGGGCCGGCGUUGGAUUAGCUAGUUGGUGGGGUAAAGGCCUACCAAGGCGACGAUCCAUAGCUGGUUAGAGAGAAUGAUCAGCCACACUGGGACUGAGACGCGGCCGGGACUCCUACGGGAGGGGGGAAAGGGGAACAUUGGAAAAUGGCGGAAGGCCUGAUCCACCACGGCCGGGUAAAUGAUGAAGUCCUUAGGGUUCAAAUGCUUUUUUACCCGGGAUGAUAAUGACGGUACCGGAUCAAAAAGCCCCGGCUAACUACGUG
RNAcentral lists this ribosomal RNA (433 nucleotides) under uncultured bacterium. RNAcentral's name for it is "partial 16S ribosomal RNA". It matches the Rfam family "Bacterial small subunit ribosomal RNA", at positions 29 to 507 of the family's 1533-position model. The record is from RNAcentral.